CCUACGGGUGGCUGCAGUGGGGAAUAUUGGACAAUGGGGGCAACCCUGAUCCAGCCAUGCCGCGUGUGUGAAGAAGGCCCUCGGGUUGUAAAGCACUUUCAGUGAGGAAGAACGCCUGGUGGUUAAUACCCAUCAGGAAAGACAUCACUCACAGAAGAAGCACCGGCUAACUCCGUGCCAGCAGCCGCGGUAAUACGGAGGGUGCGAGCGUUAAUCGGAAUUACUGGGCGUAAAGCGCGCGUAGGUGGCUUGAUAAGCCGGUUGUGAAAGCCCCGGGCUCAACCUGGGAACGGCAUCCGGAACUGUCAAGCUAGAGUGCAGGAGAGGAAGGUAGAAUUCCCGGUGUAGCGGUGAAAUGCGUAGAGAUCGGGAGGAAUACCAGUGGCGAAGGCGGCCUUCUGGACUGCCACUGACACUGAGGUGCGAAAGCGUGGGUAGCAAACAGGAUUAGAUACCCUUGUAGUC
RNAcentral lists this ribosomal RNA (465 nucleotides) under Vreelandella stevensii. RNAcentral's name for it is "partial 16S ribosomal RNA". It matches the Rfam family "Bacterial small subunit ribosomal RNA", at positions 338 to 795 of the family's 1533-position model. The record is from RNAcentral. Lineage: Bacteria; Pseudomonadati; Pseudomonadota; Gammaproteobacteria; Oceanospirillales; Halomonadaceae.